RNAcentral lists this ribosomal RNA (253 nucleotides) under uncultured bacterium. RNAcentral describes it as "partial 16S ribosomal RNA". It matches the Rfam family "Bacterial small subunit ribosomal RNA", at positions 524 to 776 of the family's 1533-position model. The record is from RNAcentral.
UACGUAGGGGGCAAGCGUUGUCCGGAUUUAUUGGGCGUAAAGAGCGUGUAGGCGGCCAUACAGGUCCGUUGUGAAAACUGGAGGCUUAACCUCCAGACGUCGAUGGAAACCGUAUGGCUAGAGUCCGGAAGAGGAGAGUGGAAUUCCUGGUGUAGCGGUGAAAUGCGCAGAUAUCAGGAAGAACACCCGUGGCGAAGGCGGCUCUCUGGGACGGUGCUGACGCUGAGACGCGAAAGCGUGGGGAGCGAACAGG